RNAcentral lists this long non-coding RNA (1535 nucleotides) under Equus caballus (horse). Its description in RNAcentral is "lncRNA (ENSECAG00000053917.1)". The record is from RNAcentral. Lineage: Eukaryota; Metazoa; Chordata; Mammalia; Perissodactyla; Equidae.
GGCCGGAAAGAUGGAUUAAAUCAAAUAAGAGUUUUGAUAAGAGUGUGUAUAAGGGUCUGCAAUUUGAGAUGUCAAAAGCUGCGGCUGUACAAGCACAGCCAGGUCACAGCUCCUGUGAAAGAGCCGCAGGGGUUUCAACCAAGAGUGAGCUCUGUAAGAGUCCAGGGUGUGAAGUAGCCAACAGAAAAGGCUCCUUUGAUCUUCCCGUUGCAGUAGUUGCAUUAACAGAAGUAUAGUAUCUAUGUCAUGGCCCCUGGGGAGUAGAGGAGCAGCAGUGCCAACCUAUGUGAAGAACAGGUACUCAGGAACAGAGUGAAGCAUGUGGAGCAGAAAGGAGAGCAGCGAGGACAUUCACCGCCAGAAGCCCCUAAGGAACUCCAUCAGAACCUAUCAGCAUGUGACAAAUCAAACCAUAAGUGUGCCUGCCUGGUGAACUCAGCAGAGCCCGCUACAUGAGCUUUGUUUUACUAUGGACCACUUUCUCCCAGAACCAGCUAAGUGUCUCUCCUGAGAAGCCCUCCUGAGUUGUCCGGACUGACCACCUCUUCUCUGGGCCAACGGGGUCUCAAGCCCCCUCCAGCACUGUGAUCCUUGCACUGUGUCGUCAUGGCCUCUUUACUCCCGUCAAGUUCCUCCCCAGUUUCUGAGCCCCUUAGAAGGCGGAGAUCUCGUCCCAUCACAGUGUUUUUGGCUCUAACACGUCUGUCUGUCUCCUGUGAGGCGCUACAGACGCGCAACGCUGAGAGCUGCUCCUUGGGAGAAACCGUGGGAGUGACAGGUAGUCUGAAGUGAGGCAAAGGGACACCGUGGCUCUCGGGUGUAUCCCAGACUGUGACGGGCUGCCGGACCAGUUUCGAGAAGGAUCUGCUGUCAGCCUCCAGCCCUGCGAUCCCUAUGUGCUAACUGUUCACGGAAUGAUCCUGUGGUUUUGGAGGAAUCAGGCUCGAGGGAGGCAGAGAAAAGGAGCCAGGCGGAAUGGUAAGGAGCACUGGAAAAAUAGAAAGGGCUGACGAAGCUGACGGGCGAGCAAGGGCUGCGCGGUCUUCCUUUCUUCCGAACCACAAGGGACUGUGGCUCAGGCGCCCCGGCGCCAGGUGCGCGGACGCGCGCUUCCAGCGUGGGGCGGCCGGUGGCGGGGACCUGUCCUUGCUCUGCCACCCAAAGGUGUGGCAACUUCGGGUUGCCCAACUUUCCUAGGCGGGGAAGUAGUCCUUCAGGAAGUCUCUCGCCCCGUUUAGGAACCAUCACAGUUCCUUUUAUCUUGCCCAUCUGGCAGGUUCCAAUAGAACUAUUUUUCAAGCCAGCGAUAUUUACAGAGACAAGACGAGGCUGCUCCGUGGAGCCUAGGACGAUUUCAGCUGUUAAGGUAAUGAAGACAAUUGAAGAACAAAGCGGAAUUAGUGUCAUCGCAAAUGAUCCAGCGCCUCAAGUUAAUUUCACCGGGUUUUGUUUGAAGAGCCGCAGAAGUACUCCUCUUGCGUAGCAAGCUGCCACCAGAAAGAUUUUUUUCGAGCAUUUAGGAAAUAGAGUUCAAG